Molecule: ribosomal RNA, 446 nt
Filed under: uncultured bacterium
Lineage: Bacteria
Description: bacterial SSU rRNA
Rfam family: Bacterial small subunit ribosomal RNA
Source: RNAcentral
GAUGAACGCNGGCGGCGUGCUUAACACAUGCAAGUCGAGCGAGAAACUACAUGCAGACACUUCGGUAGAAGCGAGUAGCGGAAAGCGGCGGACGGGUGAGUAACGCGUAGGCAACCUGCCCUUCACAGAGGUAUAGCCUCGGGAAACCGGGAUUAAAACCACAUAAAAUCAUAGGUUCGCAUGAACCAAAGGUCAAAGAUUUAUCGGUGAAGGAUGGGCCUGCGUCUGAUUAGCUGGUUGGUAGGGUAAAAGCCUACCAAGGCGACGAUCAGUAGCCGACCUGAGAGGGUGAUCGGCCACAUUGGAACUGAGACACGGUCCAAACUCCUACGGGAGGCAGCAGUGGGGGAUAUUGCACAAUGGGGGAAACCCUGAUGCAGCAACGCCGCGUGAGGUAUGAAGGCCUUUGGGUUGUAAGCCUCUGUCCUAGGGGAAGAAAAAAANGA